CAAUUUUAUUUACCAUUAUUCUGUAAAAAUUAAUAUGAAACAGGAAAUAUCGAAAGAGCUCGUCGAAACCUUCUUUGGGAACAGUCUCCCUCUCUUAUCUGGCGUCAAACACUUUAACCGACACGAUAUCGUGUCGACGGUAGAUAAAAAAGAGUAAGUAUACACAGAAAGCCGCCAGAGGGGCAGUUAAACUGGAAGUUACAUCUGCUCGACGCAAAAUCGCAUUUUUAGUAUGUACUUUUCAAAAAGUAAACGAAGAAAAAACGCGAUAAAUUACGAAUUCACUCGAGCCGCUUUUUAACGCGACAUAAUUUCCAUAAAAAGGAAAGUGGCAAACGGUAACUAGUAUUUGAAAUAGCGUGGUUACUAAAUCGACUUGGAAUGCAUGCGUAGUGUUAUAUAGUUUGGAGGUUAGGUACGACGUAUCAGAAACUAAAUUUCCGGAAUAUAAAUUAUUCGAGCUUCACUUCCGGAUCCUUGAAGCAGAGUUCAAAGAGUUUCCAUUCCCAAUUAGAAUAUAUAUAUAUAAAAUUUAUAAAUAUAAAUCAAGUAAAAAAAUUGCUAAACUAUAUAAAAGUUUUUAAAUUUUAAACUCUUAAAAUUGUAAUUUUAGAAUAAUAUUAACUGUGAUAUAAUAUUACUGUUGAUAAAAUCGAUCAUUCGAACGAAAUUUUGUUUGAAUUAUUAACUGAAAGUUAUUAUUCUCUAUAAGCAAACAUAUUCCAAGCGUUACACAAGUCACCGAACAUUUGUGUUUCGAGUAUUGUCAACGAAGGUUUAGUGUGUCGUAUAACUUCCUUCAACGGUGUACAAAAUUAAUCAAAUAUUAACGUUCAAUUACUAUCUUAUUAUUUAAAAUUCCAUUUGUUUCUCUAAUUAAUUCAUCAAAGGAAAUUAAGACGACGAAUAUUUCGACCGUGAAAAAAGCAAAUCUUAAUAAACUUUGUAUAUUGAAAAGUAACUAGAUUCGUGUUAAAACGGGAUUUUUUUAAAAAGGAAAGAAAAAUGAAGAUUAAAAAUAUAGCCAAAGUGUAUACUUGAGUGAUUAAGGAAAGCCAUUUUCCACGUGUGGUGGAUCGAAUUAACUACCACGGUUUUUUUAUCGAUAUUGCUGCAAAACGACAUUAAUUACAUAAACGAGGAGGUAAACUUGCACGAGUCAAGCUUCCGGUCGCACGAUCCUGCUUUAAUGAGGGCUCAAGACGUCGAAGAAAAAAAUGAAACACUGUAAUCCUAUUUCGCCUGGAAAACGUCAUCAUUACGGGUAUCGUGUCACGACGAAAGUGUUAAAGUGGAACGUUAAGUACUUAUUCGCAAGGGAACAGAUGGAAAGGUAUGUUGCAAAAUGUGUGUAUACACGCAAAAACAAUAAAUGAUAGCAUGGCAACUUCAGUUAAUCUCCUUGGGAUACGUUUUUGUUUACAAGAGAAUGUUUUUCUCUUUCUUCAAGUUGUUUUUCAUUCUAACUAAUUGGAGGUUGCAUUAUAGUACUAUAAAUAUGACCAGAAAAAAUGUAAUUAUGCUUUGUAAAUUUAUCAGAUUGCAGUAUCCGCAAGAAAAUCACGGCAUCUCAAGGGGUGUCGCGUCCCCCAUGAAGAAGAGAACUCAAAGUAAAAUGCUAAAAAACUCAACGAAGCGCCGUGGCCAAGUUUAGUCAAGAAAGUUCUAUACUUGACCUUAAUGGCGUCAGUCCAAUGCCAUAAACUUCGAGGUGGUCUUUAACGUUUUCUCUUUUCUCGUUACGUGUAUUCAUAUCCAUAUCCAUGAGUUUUUCCAGAAAUAUUCGAAGCCAAAUCGAACGUAUUUUGGGAAAUUGAUUUCACGGAAAAAAACACAUUUACAAAAGGGACAUACAAAACUUCAAGUUACGUUUGUGUUGCAUUGAAUUUCGGAUUUGCUGCAACAUUAGAACUCCAUUUUACCAUCGUAAAGACGUGCCGUUGAAAGGAAAAAAAUUCAAAGAGAGGACAUUGUCGAAGAAUUUCAAUGGAGACAAAAAAACUGCACUUUUAAA
RNAcentral lists this long non-coding RNA (2014 nucleotides) under Apis mellifera (honey bee). RNAcentral describes it as "uncharacterized LOC102654605, transcript variant X1". Lineage: Eukaryota; Metazoa; Arthropoda; Insecta; Hymenoptera; Apidae. The record is from RNAcentral.